RNAcentral lists this ribosomal RNA (473 nucleotides) under uncultured organism. RNAcentral describes it as "partial 16S ribosomal RNA". It matches the Rfam family "Bacterial small subunit ribosomal RNA", at positions 335 to 799 of the family's 1533-position model. The record is from RNAcentral.
ACUCCUGCGGGAGGCAGCAGUGGGGAAUUUUGGACAAUGGGCGAAAGCCUGAUCCAGCAAUGCCGCGUGAGUGAAGAAGGCCUUCGGGUUGUAAAGCUCUUUUGUCAGGGAAGAAACGGUGAAAGCUAAUAUCUUUUGCUAAUGACGGUACCUGAAGAAUAAGCACCGGCUAACUACGUGCCAGCAGCCGCGGUAAUACGUAGGGUGCAAGCGUUAAUCGGAAUUACUGGGCGUAAAGCGUGCGCAGGCGGUUUUGUAAGUCUGAUGUGAAAUCCCCGGGCUCAACCUGGGAAUUGCAUUGGAGACUGCAAGGCUAGAAUCUGGCAGAGGGGGGUAGAAUUCCACGUGUAGCAGUGAAAUGCGUAGAUAUGUGGAGGAACACCGAUGGCGAAGGCAGCCCCCUGGGUCAAGAUUGACGCUCAUGCACGAAAGCGUGGGGAGCAAACAGGAUUAGAUACCCGUGUAGUCCCAUG